AUUGGAAACCCUAGAGUGUGCCUA
Molecule: non-coding RNA, 24 nt
Filed under: Arabidopsis thaliana (thale cress)
Lineage: Eukaryota; Viridiplantae; Streptophyta; Magnoliopsida; Brassicales; Brassicaceae
Source: RNAcentral